This 271-nucleotide ribosomal RNA is filed under the name uncultured prokaryote. Its description in RNAcentral is "partial 16S ribosomal RNA". It matches the Rfam family "Bacterial small subunit ribosomal RNA", at positions 524 to 794 of the family's 1533-position model. The record is from RNAcentral.
UACGUAGGUGGCAAGCGUUAUCCGGAAUUAUUGGGCGUAAAGAGCGCGCAGGUGGUUGAUUAAGUCUGAUGUGAAAGCCCACGGCUUAACCGUGGAGGGUCAUUGGAAACUGGUCGACUUGAGUGCAGGAGAGGUUAUCGGAAUUCCCGGUGUAGCGGUGAAAUGCGUAGAGAUCGGGAGGAACACCAGUGGCGAAGGCGGGUAACUGGACUGCAACUGACGCUGAGGCGCGAAAGUGUGGGGAGCAAACAGGAUUAGAUACCCUGGUAGU